UAGUCCAUGCCGUAAACGAUGUACACUAGUUGCUCCUUUCCUUAGCGAGAGGGGUGACGAAGCUAACGCAUUAAGUGUACCGCCUGGGGAGUACGGUCGCAAGAUUAAAACUCAAAGGAAUUGACGGGGACCCGCACAAGCGGUGGAGCAUGUGGUUUAAUUCGAAGCAACGCGAAGAACCUUACCUGGACUUAAAUGUAGAUUGCAUAGAGUGGAGACAUUCUUUUCUUCGGACUAUUUACAAGGUGCUGCAUGGUUGUCGUCAGCUCGUGCCGUGAGGUGUCGGGUUAAGUCCCAUAACGAGCGCAACCCCUAUCGUUAGUUGCCAUCAGGUCAUGCUGGGGACUCUAGCGAGACUGCCGGUGUAAACCGCGAGGAAGGUGGGGAUGACGUCAAAUCAGCACGGCCCUUACGUCCAGGGCCACACACGUGUUACAAUGGCCGGUACAGAGGGCAGCUACCUAGCAAUAGGAUGCGAAUCUCGAAAGCCGGUCUCAGUUCGGA
This 504-nucleotide ribosomal RNA is filed under the name uncultured bacterium. RNAcentral describes it as "bacterial SSU rRNA". It matches the Rfam family "Bacterial small subunit ribosomal RNA", at positions 791 to 1297 of the family's 1533-position model. The record is from RNAcentral.